Vulpes vulpes (red fox) is the source of this 1690-nucleotide long non-coding RNA. The record is from Ensembl. Lineage: Eukaryota; Metazoa; Chordata; Mammalia; Carnivora; Canidae.
AUUGCCCUACCUGUCUGUGGAGAAUGUGUUCGAAGACCUCCAGUGGGUGCCUAAACCAAGAACCAAACCCUAUAUAUCCUAUGCGUUUUCCUAAUAUACAUACCUAGCAUAACGUUUAAUUUAUAAAUUAAUCACAAUAAGUGGUUAACAACAAUAAUAAUAAAAUAGAACAAUUAUAACAAGAUACUACAAUAAAGUUUAAGUAAAUGUUGUCUUUCCCUCUGCCCUUCUUCUCCUUGUGAUGAUACGAGGGGUUAAAAUAAAAUGAGGUGAGUGACAGGAGUAUUGUGACAGAGCUGUAAGCUCCUAUUGACCUUCUGAGAAUACAGAAGGGCGUCAGAAGGAGGAUCAUUUGCUUGCAGACCACGGUUGACCAUGGGUAACUGAAACCAUGGCUUCACUCUCUGCUGAUGGGAGGGGGGGAUACUGUAUUAAGAAAUAAUUCUUAAAAAAAUGAAAAAUGAAAAAUAAAAAAUAAAGAAAUCAUUCUAUCAGUGUGCCACGCAUUACCCUGUGAUGCUCCUGUUUCAGAGAAGAGAGAUACUGUGGUUGGAAGGCCCAACAUGGCUGCAGCAAACAAAACAGUAGAUGUCUUGAGUUUAAAGAGCGUGGAAAAUGUUACCCUGGUAACAUUAUCUAAUAAAUCUUGCGAAUAAUACACAGAGUAGACAGUAUAAUUCUGGCUUUCUGUGUCCACAGGGAUCAAGACGAGAAGGGGAAUAGUGGUUCAAGAAGAAACAGCUGGAGUGUGCAGUGCUAUCAUUAAGGACCCCUGGGCUAACCCAGAAGUGCUCAACGGGAGAUUUGGCGGCUGCUGCUUAAAUGAGUAGGUCCCUGUACAGAAGGAAACAGCAUCUGGUGCAGCCCCUCUUCAGGGCUGAAGAUCAAGCGCCUGCUCCGCUGGAGGCCUUCUAGGAUCCCGCUACCUCCCUGGGCUGCAGCAGGUCAGACUCCCUUGGCCUGGUUAACGUCUGGUGAUCCAUCACCAACUGGACACCCGGAACCUUCUUGAGCAAACCGUCCUGCCAGGGGGUGGCCUUUGCUGCUGCGCUGAGGCCAAGGAGCAGGGGCCUGCUGGACGAGAACCCGGAGGCCACGGGGCCAACGCCGCUGGAGGACGGCUGGCAUGUGCAUCGGCGGGGUCUGAAGCUCCCGUGUGUGUGUGCGUGUGUGUACGGAGGCGGGGGGGGGGGGGACACAGGCCGAGGGAGAGACGGCCUACCCUGUACUCAUCCAUUCGUUCAUUCCUGCAACAGACACUUGUUGAGCCAAAGUGCCGGGGGCUGGGGACAAGAUGAGCACAGAAAACAGCGACCCUCCCUGCCCUUGAGCUUAUCAUCUCCUAAGAAAGGACAGUAUGACUCAAAUAAUAAAAAAGAGAUGACACACAGUAUCGUCUGCUGGAGAAUGCUCGGAUGAUGAUCGUUGGGGUGAAAAGGGGGUGCAAGAAGGACUCCCAGCACACGAUACAUCGGCCUCAGUUCUGAUUUUCCCAUGUGGGCGACCUGACUUGGGGCUGGGCCGUGACCCUGGGCCGAUCGGGACCCAUCGUUGCCAAGAGCCUCAGUAAAGGGCCACUUGGCACUCUGCGAAGCGUGCGGGACGGCACACUAGGGCCCGUGCUCCACGCCAGCCUCACCGCAGGGCAGAGAGGACGUCUUUUUUGGCCAAAUAUCUGCCCGAGCUCUUC